UGAAACUUUACAAGCCUCUAGCGGACAACUUCAAAACUCUCCUGCUGACUCUCAGCAGUUCUGAUUCCUCUUUUUCUGACUAUGCAGCUCUUACCCCUUUUCUCUGCCUCUGAUUUUCCUCCCUUGACUCAAGAUGUAUUGCAAGCUCUUUCGAUCUGCAAGGAUCUGUCCUCAUACCUUAUACAGGUACCGUCUCCACAUCUUGAGUGCAAAGAUUACCAUCGCCAUCUCUAGAUCAUGUGUAGGAUGAUUCAACUCAUGCUUCUUCAGCUACCUAGAAGCAUAAGCAAUCAUCCUAUCACUUUACAAUAACACA
Molecule: long non-coding RNA, 316 nt
Filed under: Manihot esculenta (cassava)
Lineage: Eukaryota; Viridiplantae; Streptophyta; Magnoliopsida; Malpighiales; Euphorbiaceae
Description: long non-coding RNA (MESC_LNC010892)
Source: RNAcentral